CCUACGGGAGGCAGCAGUGGGGAAUAUUGGGCAAUGGGCGCAAGCCUGACCCAGCAACGCCGCGUGAAGGAAGACGGCUUUCGGGUUGUAAACUUCUUUUCUGGGGGACGAACAAAUGACGGUACCCCAGGAAUAAGCCACGGCUAACUACGUGCCAGCAGCCGCGGUAAUACGUAGGUGGCAAGCGUUAUCCGGAUUUAUUGGGUGUAAAGGGCGUGUAGGCGGGAAUGCAAGUCAGAUGUGAAAACUCAGGGCUCAACCCUGAGCCUGCAUUUGAAACUGUGUUUCUUGAGUGCUGAAGAGGCAGUCGGAAUUCGGGGUGUAGCGGUGAAAUGCGUAGAUAUUAGGAGGAACACCAGUGGCGAAGGCAGCUUACUGGACUGUAACUGACGUUGAGGCUCGAAAGCGUGGGGAGCAAACAGGAUUAGAUACCCCAGUAGUC
This 442-nucleotide ribosomal RNA is filed under the name uncultured bacterium. RNAcentral describes it as "partial 16S ribosomal RNA". It matches the Rfam family "Bacterial small subunit ribosomal RNA", at positions 338 to 795 of the family's 1533-position model. The record is from RNAcentral.